AAACAAACAAGUUCCUGUUUUAGUGAACUUUGAAUUUGGACUCAGGAGAGGAAGAUGGUUGUCAAGAAUACUGAACUUAAAAGAUGAUGAAUAACGGUCAGUAAAUGAGGAGAAGAAUCUGUGAUCUGGUGGUUUAGGUUUCAGUGAAAACAGUCAGAGUGAAAGUGAAAGUAUGUGAGCUGAAAAACAGACUCCAUUUUGAGAAAAGAAGAGAGAGGAGAGGACGAGGAGACAGGGUGAGUGUUUACUCUGUUUUAGUUUUAAUGUCAAACUCUUUAUCUGUUUUAUCUGUUAAUGAAAAAAUGAUUUACUGACUAAAACACUUAAAAACUGUAAAACAAAGAAACCUGAGCAGACAAAGAGCUGGAUCAGUUCUUCAUACAGGAAACUGUGUAACUGCAGUUCUUCCUCCUCUUUGUUUAGACUUGUCUUUUUGGUAAAAAUAUGAAUCAGAAUCUUUUUAGCGUCUCAUUUCAAAUUUAAUCCAGUCUCCUUAAGUUUUUUUCUGAGAGUUCAGGGACCUCACAGCUGAUUUUGUUUUGACCAUGAAUCAGACAAGGAUCAGAGAGAGGCCCUGCAGGGUGGGGAGACAUCAGAAGUUCUUGGAUAUUAAACCUGUAUAACUCUUAAAGAGGGGGAUGAAGCUGUUUUUAGACUCUGUACUUCCUUUCUGAUUCCUCUUUUAUUUCUGAACUCUCUCUUCCUGUUUGUGUCUCACCUGUUUGUCUUCUUUGUCCUCAGGUUGUAUAACUCGGUUUCAGCCUCCAUAAAUUUGCACAACAGAAGAUGGAGAAGAUGAGUGUUGGUGUCGAGGAAGAGGAGGGCAGAGCAGAGUCUGAUAUGUUUGACUGUCUGUCUAUGAAGAGUGACCGGUCUAAAGGUUUUGAUAUAAACUUCAGUAAAGAACCAGGACCCCCAGAGCAGGACAGAACAAAGUCUGUUAUCUCCAGCUGUCUGUCUAUGAAGAGUGACCGGUCUAAAGAUCCUCCACCAAAAUUCAGUGAAGAACCAGGACCCUCAGAUUCACAGUAAGAGAAACACUUUUCAAUCACCAAACUCUCAAACAACCUCUGACGUUUCAAAUACAAAACUUUAAAUCCUGACCCCUCUGUUUUCUCCUCUGUUCUCAAAACACUGAUUUUCCUCUUGAACCUGCCAACCUGGAUAAAAUUCAAUUCAAUCCAACUUUAUUUAUAAAGCCCAUUUCAUGCAAAAGGCAGACUCAAUGUUCUUCACAACAGGUGUACAUAGUUAAAAACAGUUAUACAAAAAUCUAUUAGAAAUCAAUUUAAGAGUGUAAGUGCAAGUCAACCAACUUCACCGCGAAUGCUACAGAAAUCUGUUUUUAAAGAUGGCUACUGAUGUGUCUAACUGUGUCAGGCAGGGUGUUCCAUUUUUGUGGGGCAUAAACACUCAAAGCUGCCUCCCCUUAUUUGGAUCUGGUGUGAGGGAUGAGUAAGUUGCCACUGCCUGUUGACCGAAGUGUUCUUGCUGGGGUGUAGGUGAUGAGCAUAUCUGUGAUGUACUGAGGUGCAAGGCCAUGUAGUGCUUUGUAAACCAGGAGGAGUAUUUUGAAAUCGAUUCUUGUCCUAACGGGUAACCAAUGUACAGAUUUGAGAACGGGUGUGAUGUGUUGAUAUUUUUUGGUACCAGUGAGAAUUCAUGCAGCUGCAUUUUGAAUUAACUGUAACCUCUGAAGACUUGAUUUUGGGAGUCCAGUGAAUAAACUGUUACAGUAAUCCAGUUUACUUCUUAUAAAUGCAUGGAUGAAUUUUUCUAAGUCUGAUUUUGACAGAAAGCCCCUCAGUUUGGAGAUAUUUUUGAGAUGAUAGAAAGAUGAUCUUGUAAUGGAUAAAAGGCUGGUAAAGAAAAACUCACUGAGCACAGAUUUACUUAUUAUUCUUGAUGUUGAUAAAAAUGAAGGUCGUAUAAAACAGCAUUUGAAAAGGAUUCUGACUUCUUGUAUUUUCUGAUUUGGUUCCUGUGUUUGGGACGUUUUGAGCCUGUUAGUCUUUGGACUGUGGUGUAUAGACCCCAGAAAACAGUCUGUGGGUCACAAAAUACCAGAAGACCAAUGAAGAAAUAAAUCCUGAAAAAUAAAAACAUAAUUCAGAGCAUCUGUCUGUUAUUAGACCUUUAGAUCUGAUUGGUCAAAAAAAAAGUUUUAAACUGUCAGAGAAAAUCUCUCUACCUUCAAAAAUCACAGUUUAGUUUUUUCUCUUGUCACGACACUUUCAGGCAGCAGCAGCUGAAUAUUUUACAGGAGAUUGUUUUAUGUUAGAGAAAAGAGAAACUCUGGUUUAAUAAAUGUUUCUUAUUCUGUAUCUUUCAAACAUGAAAUAAUAAAGAAAAUAAAUGUUCUUUAUUUCCACAGAGAGACACAGAGAUGUGACUCUGUGGAGGAGCAGCUGUCCAAAUGUUCUUUAUGUCAGGAUGUCCUGAAGGAUCCAGUCUCUACCCGCUGUGGACACAGGUUCUGCAGACAGUGCCUCGCCUCAUUCAGGGACCAGUCUACUUCUUCAGGACACACCUCCUGUCCUCAGUGUGGAAAAAGAACCAGAACAGUUCUUGUUCUUCAGACAGACAGCCAGUCCAGCUCUGAUCGAAGUAAGUCUGAACACCUUUAAACCCUAAAUUAUACAAUUUCUGCCUGAAUUAUUUUGCUUAUUUUAGCCAUAAAAUUGGCAGAAAAUGUCCUAUGAGUGAGUGCUUUUUUAUUCAUUGGCUUUCAACCCUGCAUGAGACUCGGCUCCUGUUUUAGUGUUUUAUGUUUUUUUUUUUUUUUUUAUGUCUAUGCUUUUUUGUCUAUUUAUAUACAGCACUUUGGUUGGCUGUGGUUGUUUUAAAGUGCUUUACAAAUAAAGUUGAGUUUUACCCAUUUUUCCAGAGCACUUAAAACUUUCAAUAUCUGGCUGUCAUUUACGAUUUACUGUCUGUUAAAAGAGUGCUUUAACAUUGUAAGAUAAAGAAAAACACAAAAACGGAAUACAAUUUUUUUUGAGUUUUAAUGAGAAAAAAACAGAAAAUAUUCAUGAAAAACAGAUUGUUCAUUUGAAAUAAAAAAAUUAAAGAGUAUCAAACAUAUUUACAGCAAAAACUUUGGAGUGCUGUCUCUCCAAGUGCAAAAACAGGCUAACUAAAUACAACUGUGUCCAGGCGUUUCUCCUCUCUCACUCAGAGGUCUUUGUGAAACUGUCAGAAGCUGUUCCUUUCUGUCUGCAGACACAGACCCACAUCACACCCCUCACACUUCCAGACAGUUCUCCUUAUGACAAAGUUUGCAGCGUCGUCUCCUCAUGCUAGUUCUUUUAGACUUCAUCUGCCCAUGGCUUGUUUGGGCACGUAGCUAUACUCUACUAUAAACGGUGAGCAUUUCUGCCAAGUGGAUGUAAUUCUCGGGGGGCAUGUGUUUCUCGGCAACACAUCAACGGCUGCAAAUGAGAAACCAACAAGAGAAAACCGCCGAAGAUGAAAACUUUUUAGUAAAAAGAAAAGCAACGUCACUUACCAUUGAAGACGAAUACUCGUUGAUUAAAAGAAAAGCAACGUCACUUACCAUUGAAGAUGAAUAUUCGUUGAUUAAAAGAAAAGCCACGUCACUUAUCUGUAAUUAUUUCGGUAACAAAAAGGAUGACGUCACCUAACACCUGUUCUGUGUCGGCAGUGUCUUUCAUCUGUUUCCACAAUAACGUCCCAGCAGAACAAUAAAAACUAAAAAUAUCUCUAAGACAGACAGAAGCCAUUCUACUAACAUUCACUAAAAGAGGGAAGAUCAGUGCAGGUUAACAGAGAGCCCUUCAUUCAUCCAGAAACCCACUCAGAAAAUCAACCAGUCAAACUUUACCUUUCUCUGUCUGAAGUUUCUCUGAAAGCUUCUCCAUCGGUCCCAAAGUCGUCUGUAAACCUCAGUGGAGGUUUUCUCACUCAGGAAGGAUUUAUCACAGACAUUUUCCUCUGAAAUAAUCACUUUUUUUUUGGUAAUUUUUCUCUCUUUUUGCUCCGUUUCUCUGCUCUGUUGUUUGUCUAUCUACUGCUUUCUUUGUGAGGGGGAGAGGGGACGGAGAGACAGAUUUCCUCUCUAAACAGCAGGAGUGAAAUUACCGUAAUAACCGUUUAUUGGCCGUGUGGCGCAACUUCUCACUUUUCAGAAACCGUUGGAGAUUUUUUUUUGAUAGAACAAACUAUCCCAAAGUUACGGUAAUUUAAAGAGCGCCUGUAUAAAGGUGUCGGCGCCGACGGACUGUGAGGAAAAGUCUGUGUGGAUGAAAACUCAGCUGACUGAUUUUCACAAAGACGUUUCAGUGUUGAGAAGUUUGGUUCAUUUUAUUUUUCUUCUCUUUCAGAAGAUGGCCUCCCGCAGGAGGUUUUAGAUGAACAUAAGAUAAGUCUGAAGAGGAGAUGUGAACGUGUGAAUGAAGGAAGUGAUGUAACAGGAAGUAGUCAAACCCUCCUCAACAGGAUCUUCACUGAGCUCUACAUCACAGAGGGACUGAGUGAAGAGGUGAACACCCAACAUGAGGUGAGACAGCUGGAGACUACUUCAAAGAUGAAGACCCUCCAUGACACGCCCAUCAGGUGUCAUGAGAUCUUUAAAACCUUACCUGACCAACAGAAGAAGCUCAUCAGAGUGGUUCUGACCAACGGCGUGGCUGGUGUUGGAAAAACCUUCUCAGUGCAGAAGUUCACUCUGGACUGGGCAGAGGGUUUGGAGAACCAAGACCUCCAUCUGGUGGUCCUGCUUUCAUUCAGGGAGCUGAACCUGAUCAGAGAUGAGCGCUUCAGUCUUCUGAGUCUGCUCCAUGUUUUCCAUCCAACCCUAGAGAAGGUCACAGCAGAGACGCUGGCUGUCUGUAAACUUCUGUUCAUCUUUGACGGUCUGGAUGAAAGCAGACUGUCUCUGGAUUUCACAGACUCUGAGGUGGUGUCUGACGUCACACAGAAGUCUUCACUGAACGUUCUGAUAACAAACCUCAUCAAGGGGAACCUGCUCCCCUCAGCUCUCAUCUGGAUAACUUCUCGACCUGCAGCAGCCAAUCAGAUCCCUCCUUCACAUGUGGACAGGGUAACAGAAGUACGAGGCUUCACUGACGACCAGAAGGACGAGUACUUCAAGAAGAGGUUCAGAGAUGAAGAUCUGUCCAGAAGAAUCAUCUCACACAUCAAGUCCUCCAGGAGCCUCCACAUCAUGUGUCAGAUCCCGGUCUUCUGCUGGAUCACUGCGACAGUUCUGGAGGACAUGAUGAGCAGAGAGCAGAGAGGAGAGCUGCCCAAGACCCUGACUGACAUGUACUCACACUUCCUGCUGGUCCAGACUCAGAGGAAGAAGCAGAAGUAUGAAGGAGGACAUGAGACAAGUCCUCAGGCACUGAUGGAUGCUGACAGUGACGUCCUCCUGAAGCUGGGGAGGCUGGCCUUUGAACAUCUGAAGAAAGGAAACAUCAUGUUCUACCAAGAAGACCUGGAGCGGUGUGGUCUGGAUGUCUCAGAGGCCUCGGUCUACUCAGGAGUUUGUACAGAGAUCUUCAGAAGAGAGAGUGUGAUCUUCCAGAAAACUGUUUACUGUUUUGUUCAUCUGAGCGUUCAGGAGUUUCUGUCUGCAGUCUACAUGAUCCACAGUUUCACAAACAGGAACACAGAAGCUCUGAAGACUUUCCUAAGAAGCAACGAUGAUGAAGAUAAAAUGUCUUCUUCAGAGAUGGUUGACAGAUUUUUUCAAAACCUGGAUUAUUUUUUCUCAUCUCAGGAUGUCUUCCUGAAGAGUGUCGUGGAGAACUCCCUUCUCAGUAAAAACGGUCACCUGGACCUGUUUGUUCGCUUCCUUCAUGGACUCUCUGUGGAGUCAAACCAGAGACUCUUAGGAGGUCUGCUGGGUCACACAGACAACAGUCCAGAAAUGAUCCAAACAGUCAUCAAGAACCUGAAGGAGAUGAACAGAGAAGAUAUCUCUCCUGACAGAAGCAUCAACAUCUUCCACUGUCUGAUGGAGAUGAACGAUCUGUCGGUUCAUCAGGAGAUUCAAGAGUUCCUGAAGACAAAGAACAUAUCAGAGAAGAAACUCUCAGAGAUCCAAUGCUCUGCUCUGGCCUACAUGCUGCAGAUGUCAGAGGAGGUUCUGGAUGAGUUAGACUUACAGAAGUAUAAAACAUCAGACCAGGGACGACUGAGACUGAUCCCAGCUGUGAGGAACUGCAGAAAGGCUGAGUAAGUCCAGGUUUUAUUCUCAGAAUAGUGUAAAUGAUCCCUGUAGUUCUUCUAAUGUCCACGUUACUGAUGAUGUUCUUCUUCAAAUAGAAAUCCACUCAAAUAUCAGGGAGGGGGUUUCUUCAGCAAAAACAUGAUCCUGGUGUCUAAAGUCCUGUUAGUCCAGGAUGAGGUCUACCUGUGGACCCCUGAGAACUUGUCCUAAUUGUGGAGGACCUCUUUGUUUUGAAUCGUGUCUGUAAUGAAUAAAGUGGAACUUUGAGGACAAAUCAGCGACCAUAUCUGAGGACACACAGAGGUCUUCUGAUGAUGGUAUCAGUCCAGAUCAGGUGAACUUGAGUUUUAAGAAGGUGUCUGCAGCUUCUUCCUGCUGGUUUUCAGGUUGGAAAUGAUGAAUCAGUUGUAAAUGAGGGUGUUGACAGCAUUGAUGGUGAAAAUAGAACUGGAUCAUUUUCUACACAGUGGCAGAACUGUCUAACCUUCAAAGAAAUGUUUUUAUCUGAACCAAACAGAGAAAAAGGAGCUGCUGUGAUUUAGUGAGUCGUCUUCUGAUUGGUCAACAGUCAGUGCCUUACAUUAUAGCAGGAUGUCAACACUAAACACUGAGAGGAGCAUGAGUCAUGGAGUCAUUUGUCUUGAACGUCUGAACAGUUUUUUUUUUCUUCUAAACUUGGACUUCCUGUCUUCUCUCAUGGCUGUGGUCCUGAUAUUAGUAUCUGUCUGGUUAAAAACAGGCCGUCUGUCAAACCAAAGAUCAUGUUUGAGUUGUUUUUGGGGAAGAGAAACAUCAAAUAACCCUUUAAUAAAAUAUUGUUUGAUAUUCAUUUUGUCACAGAUUUAAUAACUGUGGACUCUCAGAGACUCACUGUGAAGUUGUGGCCUCAGCUCUGAAGUCCAACCCCUCCCAUCUGAGACAUCUGAACCUGAGAAACAACAGACUGCAGGAUUCAGGAGUGAAGCUUCUCUCUGCAGGACUGGAGAGUCCAAACUGCAGACUGGAGACUCUGAGGUGAGACACCAUUUCCUUCCGAUCUAACAAUAAGAUGUGACAGCUGCUGCCUUAGAUUUUUCUCUGUGGUUUUUCCAUCAACUUUGGUCGAGCAGUUUGAAUUUGUCGUUGUAAAACUUCAACACAGGAAGAAAAAUCCGACAUUUCAGAGUCGACUUUGAGUAGAACGAUGGAUGUAGAAAGGAAGCAGGAGAAAAUCAGUCCCACAAAUAUUAUACAUGCUUGUAGAGGGCAGGAGCAGCACAGACUAAAGGCUGAUAUUGAACUGAUCCACAGUUAAUGUGAUCACUAAUGAAUGAAUGAAGUGUCAGAGAAAUGAUGAGCUGCAGAUUGAAACCUGAAGAACAAAGUUAAUCCAACUCUGGAUAUUUCAUUUGGAAACUCUUGAAAACUUGAAUUUCUUCUUUGCUCAGUCGUGUUCAAAUGUAAAAACCAGAUCCAGAUUUUUCUGCAGUUUUCACUUCAGUUUGUUGAACAUGAACAUCAUCUUGUCCAGCUGGUCCAUAAAAACCUCUCUGAUCAAUGAUCUGUUGGUUUAUUUAAGAGUAGUUUGUCAGUUGUUGACAGCAGACGGACAGACCCCUGAAUAAACUCCUGACUGUUUUCAUCUUCAUGAAGAAUUCAGGACUACAAAAGAACCUUUGAGAUUUCUCACAGGAGUUUCUCAGGAUCUCACUAAAGUUUUCUGUUUCUGUAAAAUUUUCUCGACUGAUAAAUUCCUCUGGAUCUUCAAAAAGUUUAGAGAGGAUUUUACAAAGUUCCUGAAGAUCAACUCUGAAAAAGUUCUUCUUCCGUGUCCUUCAGGGUUCAAGAACAUUGAAUCAUUAAAAACAGGAACAGUUUCUUCAGAGGUUACAUGAUUUUUUUCUUUUUUCAGACUGUGACAGGUGUUUAUUAGUCUUUUUGACUCAUUACAAUAAUGAGGAUAAAGUCAUGGACUAAACUUGGGCUCCCAGUUUCCUUGUUGUUGUUUCUUCAGCUAGCAUCAUUGUUUUCAUCUCAGUUAUUAAAGUAAUAAUGAUGCUUCAUAAAUUCAGAGUCACAAAAAAACACCAAACAAACCAAAUCUGAAAAAAAUUCACUUUUUCAUCAAAUGAGUUUAAUCGGUCAGAACAUGAGGUUUGAGUUUUCAUGAGGAGGAAACGAGAAAGAUCUGCUCUGACAGUUAGAAACACAGACACCUGAAUUUACACUGACAGACAGAGAGACACAGACAGAGACACAGACAGACACAGACAGAGACACACAAACACAGACUAACAGAGAUGUUCCUCUUCGUCUCUUUGCUGUGAUGACUGAAGUCACAAAAACAAAGUUUUCUUCGUCACUUUUAUGAUUGAACCAAAGAAGUUAAAGAACCAAACUCUCAGAUUUUGUUCUUCUCAAUUUUAUUUGAACCAUUUAGAUUUUUCUCCUGAUCAAUAUUCAAUGAUCAGAUUGAUCAGGUUCCUGUUUUGGCUCCACUGCCUCUUUUCUGCAGCUCAAUAACUGCUCAUAUGGUUUGAAAGGUUCCUGCAGUAAAACCCGAUUAGAGAGUGGACUAAAUGAAAUGUGAGUGAACUCAGCCAUCAGUGAAUCAAUGACAAAGUGAGAGGAAGAGUGGAUCUGUCUGCUGUCUGACCUUGUUGAUCCUGAUGAAGGUGAGGGAGAAGAGUAAAGCAGUAAAGGUGAUGUUGUUGCAGACAGAGUCAGCUGACCUGUCUCAUCAGAGUCUCAUCCAUUCUCUGUUUGGCAGAGCACUGAUGUUAGAGUCUGAGAGCACAUUCAGGUUCAGCUUCACAUGGGCUGGAUCUGCUCAAUACAAACUCUUGAGACCAGCCUGGUUGAGGGAGGUGGGCUCAGUGUCCUGGGUGACUCUCUCUGAGCUCUUCUUGGUUGAGAGUAUUUCUGGUUUGUCUCUGACUUCCAUGAACUCAGAUCUGGAGGAUUGCUGGCUGGUCCGGUCCAGUUCUGACAGUAGAGACAACACAGUCUGUUAUUCUGGGUUGAGUGUUCUUGUUGAAGAUCAGUGUACAGUGAGGGAUGAAGGCAGACAAAGAUCCUCCUGUUUCCUCCAUGUCACAGUUCAAGUUCAUUUUGAAGACUUUGAUUGAUCCGAGCGCUGAAGAGGAACAGGAAACGAGGAGUAGAGAGUGAGGGAGGACUUACAGCAAAGGAUCAUGGGAGUCCAACCAGCAACUGCUGCAACAAGGACUCCACCUUCUGAUCACAUGAACCUCUAAUCCAAACCAGUGCUCCAUCACAUUUGAUGUCUUGUCUGUUAUUUUACAUGGAGGGUCAGAGCAGACCAGAUCAUGAGCUCUGACAGACUGGAUCUGGUCCAAAGGUCUCCUGUUGGAGUUCUCUAAGCUCCAUAUUUUAAACCUGAACACCUGAAGUUUGAUUAUUAAUUAUUUUUAUCUUCAUUCUCUUUCCUUUUUUCAGAUUGUAUAAAUGCAGUUUGUCAGAGAUCAGCUGUUCUUCUCUGGCCUCAGCUCUGAAGUCCAACCCCUCCCAUCUGAGAUAUCUGGACCUGAGUCACAACAAGCUGCAGGAUUCAGGAGUGAAGCUUCUCUCUGCAGGACUGGAGAGUCCAAACUGUAAACUGGAGACUCUGAGGUGAGACACCAUUUCCUUCUGAUCUAACAAUAAGAUGUGACAGCUGCUGCCUUAGAUUUUUCUCUGUGGUUUUUCCAUCAACUUUGGUCGAGCAGUUUGAAUUUGUCGUUGUAAAACUUCAACACAGGAAGAAAAAUCCGACAUUUCAGAGUCGACUUUGAGUAGAACGAUGGAUGUAGAAAGGAAGCAGGAGAAAAUCAGUCCCACAAAUAUUACACAUGCUUGUAGAGGGCAGGAGCAGCACAGACUAAAGGCUGAUACUGAACUGAUCCACAGUUAAUGUGAUCACUAAUGAAUGAAGUGUCAGAGAAAUGAUGAGCUGCAGAUUGAAACCUGAAGAACAAAGUUAAUCCAACUCUGGAUAUUUCAUUUGGAAACUCUUGAAAACUUGAAUUUCUUCUUUGCUCAGUCGUGUUCAAAUGUAAAAACCAGAUCCAGAUUUGUCUGCAGUUUUCACUUCAGUUUGUUGAACAUGAACAUCAUCUUGUCCAGCUGGUCCAUAAAAACCUCUCUGAUCAAUGAUCUGUUGGUUUAUUUAAGAGUAGUUUGGCAGUUGUUGACAGCAGACGGACAGACCCCUGAAUAAACUCCUGACUAUUUUCAUCUUCAUGAAGAAUUCAGGACUACAAAAGAACCUUUGAGAUUUCUCACAGGAGUUUCUCAGGAUCUCACUAAAGUUUUCUGUUUCUGUAAAAUUUUCUCGACUGAUAAAUUCCUCUGGAUCUUCAAAAAGUUUAGAGAGGAUUUUACAAAGUUCCUGAAGAUCAACUCUGAAAAAGUUCUUCUUCCGUGUCCUUCAGGGUUCAAGAACAUUGAAUCAUUAAAAACAGGAACAGUUUCUUCAGAGGUUACAUGAUUUUUUUCUUUUUUCAGACUGUGACAGGUGUUUAUUAGUCUUUUUGACUCAUUACAAUAAUGAGGAUAAAGUCAUGGACUAAACUUGGGCUCCCAGUUUCCUUGUUGUUGUUUCUUCAGCUAGCAUCAUUGUUUUCAUCUCAGUUAUUAAAGUAAUAAUGAUGCUUCAUAAAUUCAGAGUCACAAAAAAACACCAAACAAACCAAAUCUGAAAAAAAUUCACUUCUUCAUCAAAUGAGUUUAAUCGGUCAGAACAUGAGGUUUGAGUUUUCAUGAGGAGGAAACGAGAAAGAUCUGCUCUGACAGUGAGAAACACAGACGCCUGAAUCUACACUGACAGACAGACAAACACAGACAGAGAGACAGACACACAAACACAGACACACAGAGAUUUUCCUCUUUGUCUCUUUGCUGUGAUGACUGAAGUCACAAAAACAAAGUUUUCUUCGUCACUUUUAUGAUUGAACCAAAGAAGUUAAAGAACCAAACUCUCAGAUUUUGUUCUUCUCAAUUUUAUUUGAACCAUUUAGAUUUUUCUCCUGAUCAAUAUUCAAUGAUCAGAUUGAUCAGGUUCCUGUUUUGGCUCCACUGCCUCUUUUCUGCAGCUCAAUAACUGCUCAUAUGGUUUGAAAGGUUCCUGCAGUAAAACCCGAUUAGAGAGUGGACUAAAUGAAAUGUGAGUGAACUCAGCCAUCAGUGAAUCAAUGACAAAGUGAGAGGAAGAGUGGAUCUGUCUGCUGUCUGACCUUGUUGAUCCUGAUGAAGGUGAGGGAGAAGAGUAAAGCAGUAAAGGUGAUGUUGUUGCAGACAGAGUCAGCUGACCUGUCUCAUCAGAGUCUCAUCCAUUCUCUGUUUAGCAGAGCGCUGAUGUUACAGUCUGAGAGCACAUUCAGGUUCAGCUUCACAUGGGCUGGAUCUGCUCAAUACAAACUCUUGAGACCAGCCUGGUUGAGGGAGGUGGGCUCAGUGUCCUGGGUGACUCUCUCUGAGCUCUUCUUGGUUGAGAGUCUUUCUGGUUUGUCUCUGACUUCCAUGAACUCAGAUCUGGAGGAUUGCUGGCUGGUCCGGUCCAGUUCUGACAGUAGAGACAACACAGUCAGUUAUUCUGGGUUGAGUGUUCUUGUUGAAGAUCAGUGUACAGUGAGGGAUGAAGGCAGACAAAGAUCCUCCUGUUUCCUCCAUGUCACAGUUCAAGUUCAUUUUGAAGACUUUGAUUGAUCCGAGCGCUGAAGAGGAACAGGAAACGAGGAGUAGAGAGUGAGGGAGGACUUACAGCAAAGGAUCAUGGGAGUCCAACCAGAAACUGCUGCAACAAGGACUCCACCUUCUGAUCACCUGAACCUCUAAUCCAAACCAGUGCUCCAUCACAUUUGAUGUCUUGUCUGUUAUUUUACAUGGAGGGUCAGAGCAGACCAGAUCAUGAGCUCUGACAGACUGGAUCUGGUCCAAAGGUCUCCUGUUGGAGUUCUCGAAGCUCCAUAUUUUAAUCCUGAACACCUGAAGUUUGAUUAUUAAUUAUUUUUAUCUUCAUUCUCUUUCCUUUUUUCAGAUUGUAUAAAUGCAGUUUGUCAGAGAUCAGCUGUUCUUCUCUGGCCUCAGCUCUGAAGUCCAACCCCUCCCAUCUGAGACAUCUGAACCUGAGAAACAACACUCUGCAGGAUUCAGGAGUGAAGCUUCUCUCUGCAGGACUGCAGAGACCAAACUGCAGACUGGAGACUCUGAAGUGAGACACCAUUUCCUUCUGAUCUAACAAUAAGAUGUGACAGCUGCUGCCUUAGAUUUUUCUCUGUGGUUUUUCCAUCAACUUUGGUCGAGCAGUUUGAAUUUGUCGUUGUAAAACUUCAACACAGGAAGAAAAAUCCGACAUUUCAGAGUUGACUUUGAGGAGAACGAUGGAUGUAGAAAGGAAGCAGGAGAAAAUCAGUCCCACAAAUAUUACACAUGCUUGUAGAGGGCAGGAGCAGCACAGACUAAAGGCUGAUAUUGAACUGAUCCACAGUUAAUGUGAUCACUAAUGAAUGAAGUGUCAGAGAAAUGAUGAGCUGCAGAUUGAAACCUGAAGAACAAAGUUAAUCCAACUCUGGAUAUUUCAUUUGGAAACUCUUGAAAACUUGAAUUUCUUCUUUGCUCAGUCGUGUUCAAAUGUAAAAACCAGAUCCAGAUUUGUCUGCAGUUUUCACUUCAGUUUGUUGAACAUUAACAUCAUCUUGUCCAGUUGGUCCAUAAAAACCUCUCUGAUCAAUGAUCUGUUGGUUUAUUUAAGAGUAGUUUGGCAGUUGUUGACAGCAGACGGACAGACCCCUGAAUAAACUCCUGACUGUUUUCAUCUUCAUGAAGAAUUCAGGACUACAAAAGAACCUUUGAGAUUUCUCACAGGAGUUUCUCAGGAUCUCACUAAAGUUUUCUGUUUCUUUAAAAUUUUCUCGACUGAUAAAUUCCUCUGGAUCUUCAAAAAGUUUAGAGAGGAUUUUACAAAGUUCCUGAAGAUCAACUCUGAAAAAGUUCUUCUUCCGUGUCCUUCAGGGUUCAAGAACAUUGAAUCAUUAAAAACAGGAACAGUUUCUUCAGAGGUUACAUGAUUUUUUUCUUUUUUCAGACUGUGACAGGUGUUUAUUAGUCUUUUUGACUCAUUACAAUAAUGAGGAUAAAGUCAUGGACUAAACUUGGGCUCCCAGUUUCCUUGUUGUUGUUUCUUCAGCUAGCAUCAUUGUUUUCAUCUCAGUUAUUAAAGUAAUAAUGAUGCUUCAUAAAUUCAGAGUCACAAAAAAACACCAAACAAACCAAAUCUGAAAAAAAUUCACUUUUUCAUCAAAUGAGUUGAAUCGGUCAGAACAUGAGGUUUGAGUUUUCAUGAGGAGGAAACGAGAAAGAUCUGCUCUGACAGUUAGAAACACAGACGCCUGAAUCUACACUGACAGACAGACAAACACAGACAGAGAGACAGACACACAAACACAGACACACAGAGAUUUUCCUCUUUGUCUCUUUGCUGUGAUGACUGAAGUCACAAAAACAAAGUUGUAUUCGUCACUUUUAUGAUUGAACCAAAUAAGUUAAAGAACCAAACUCAUAGAUUUUCUUCUUCUCAAUAUUAUUUGAACCAUUUUGAUUUUUCUUCUGAUCAAUAUUCAAUGAUCAGAUUGAUCAGGUUCCUGUUUUGGCUCCACUGCCUCUUUUCUGCAGCUCAAUAACUGCUCAUAUGGUUUGAAAGGUUCCUGCAGUAAAACCCGAUUAGAGAGUGGACUAAAUGAAAUGUGAGUGAACUCAGCCAUCAGUGAAUCAAUGACAAAGUGAGAGUAAGAGUGGAUCUGUCUGCUGUCUGACCUUGUUGAGCCUGAUGAAGGUGAGGGAGAAGAGUAAAGCAGUAAAGGUGAUGUUGUUGCAGACAGAGUCAGCUGACCUGUCUCAUCAGAGUCUCAUCCAUUCUCUGUUUGGCAGAGCACUGAUGUUAGAGUCUGAGAGCACAUUCAGGUUCAGCUUCACAUGGGCUGGAUCUGCUCAAUACAAACUCUUGAGACCAGCCUGGUUGAGGGAGGUGGGCUCAGUGUCCUGGGUGACUCUCUCUGAGCUCUUCUUGGUUGAGAGUCUUUCUGGUUUGUCUCUGACUUCCAUGAACUCAGAUCUGGAGGAUUGCUGGCUGGUCCGGUCCAGUUCUGACAGUAGAGACAACACAGUCAGUUAUUCUGGGUUGAGUGUUCUUGUUGAAGAUCAGUGUACAGUGAGGGAUGAAGGCAGACAAAGAUCCUCCUGUUUCCUCCAUGUCACACUUCAAGUUCAUUUUGAAGACUUUGAUUGAUCCGAGCGCUGAAGAGGAACAGGAAACGUGGAGUAGAGAGUGAGGGAGGACUUACAGCAAAGGAUCAUGGGAGUCCAACCAGCAACUGCUGCAACAAGGACUCCACCUUCUGAACACCUGAACCUCUAAUCCAAACCAGUGCUCCAUCACAUUUGAUGUCUUGUCUGUUAUUUUACAUGGAGGGUCAGAGCAGACCAGAUAAUGAGCUCUGACAGACUGGAUCUGGUCCAAAGGUCUCCUGUUGGAGUUCUCUAAGCUCCAUAUUUUAAACCUGAACACGUGAAGUUUGAUUAUUAAUUAUUUUUAUCUUCAUUCUCUUUCCUUUUUUCAGACUGAGGAGCUGCAGUUUGUCAGAGAUCAGCUGUUCUUCUCUGGCCUCAGCUCUGAAGUCCAACCCCGACCAUCUGAAACAUCUGGACCUGAGCAGAAACAAUCUGCAGGAUUCAGGAGUGAAGCUGCUGUGUGACUCUCUGCAGAGUCCAAACUGUAAACUGGAGACUCUAGAGUGAGACUUUUUUCCUCCAUUCAAACAUGAUCAUGAUUUGUUUGUGAUGAUGACACUAAACUGCUGACUCAGGACUGAAACACUGACCCAGACUGAACACCUUCAGUCCAGAGUAGAUUUUCUGCUUCAGUGGAUUAUUUGAUUGACUCCAGUUAGAUCACUGCUGAGCUCCAGUGAAUUAAAACCUGAACCCAAGAAGAAAACUCUUUGUAGAGUUCACAGUGAGAAGCACAUUCAGACAGAAAACAGAAGCAGGGGGAGAUUUGUCAGACGAGAACCAUUCAAACUUUAGUUCAGGACAAGAAAUGGAAAAAACUCAGAGUUUAGUUUCUGACUCUGAUGAAAGUCCAGCUCUGUUACUUUGAAUUUUGUUUUUGAAUCUUUGUGUGAAAAUCUGAAUUUUCUGGUUUAUCUGCACUUUUCUGAAGCCUUGCUGUGUUUAGACUGAAAUAUUUACCUCUCAAAGACGUGAUAUUUUUGGUUCAGCAAAGUGAAAAUAUUCUGAACAUCCUUUGUUUCCCAUCCGUCCUGAAGUCGCUGACAUUUUCUGAAAAUAUUGAGCUGCAUCUACAAUCAGUAAAAAAGUCUCUGAGUUUUUUAUUUCACUAUUUAAUGUGUUUUUGAAUUCAGUGUUUCAAACUGACUUCCUGUUUGGUUCAGCUCUUUGGAGCGUCACUUUUCUUUGAUUCAUACUUUCCAAACCUUUCCCCUGAACUCUACAGAUUUAAGACAUCAGGUUUCAAACUGGAUCAUUUUUCUCUAAAAUCUCAUUAUUUCCUCUUUAUUUAGGUUGUGGCGCUGCAGUUUGACGAAGAUCAGCUGUUCUUCUCUGGCCUCAGCUCUGAAGUCCAACCCCUCCCAUCUGAAAACUCUGUGGCUGUAUGGAAACAAUCUGCAGGGUUCAGACGUGGAGCUGCUGUGUGAUCUUCAGAAGAGUCCAGACUACAGACUGGAGGAUCUGGAGUCAGUAUAGAGUUGGAGUUAGUCUGUGCUGAUCUCUCCUGUUCCUCUCCACACAGUAUCACAGCAGAUAUUCAGUAUUUCCUGCUGACUCUUCGACCCUCUCAGAGGAUUAUCUCUUUAGUGAAGCUGUGAGAACAGAAAUCAUCAAACCAGGAGUGUAAGAGUGUCAGUGAUGAAAAAAGUGUCUCCUCGUCUCUAUAUUUCAGAUCAAAUGUAGAAAUGAGACAUAAUGAAACAGAAAUGUUCAGUUUCUGCUCUGAAGUCCAGUUUAUAGUUCUCUGUAUUCAACACAGACUUUAUUUCUCUGCUAACUUGUUGAUUUUGAGCUCUAAGUCUGAAAACAGACAGCUGUUCUUUAUACUUGUUAUUUUCACAGCAGGUUUGUUCGAUCAGCUUUAACACAUUUGACAGGAAUGAUUUCUUUAUUUUGAUGAUGUUGGUUUAUUUGUGAGGAAACCUGCUGCUUUACACCAUCACUUCUGGUCUGAGCAGGACUGAGACCUGCUGGUCUGUAAACUGGAUGUUCUUCAGUCCAGCUGAUGAAGUGAGUCUCAGAGUGGAAACACUGAACGUCUUUUUUUCUCUCCUCAGAUGGAGUUAACAUCUGUCAGAGUGAAUAAGAAGAGGAUCGUGUGUUUCCUGACGAUCAGAGAGGUGGAGGCAGCAGCAGUGAGGGUGAGGUGAGUCUCUGACUGAGAGACUGACUGACCAAUCACAGCGGGCGGAGAGGACUCUGGGAGCUGCACUUUGACCUGCUCUGAGAUCAGCUCAGGACCUGGACUCUGGAUAUUUGAUAUUUUCCCUCAUACUCUGGGAUCAAACAGUCUGAACAGGUUUGUUUUGUUGAUGGAAACAUGAUCAUAAAUUUACACUUUGAUUGGAUUACUUUGUUUUCACCAUGAUGCAGCGCCACCCAGUGGAAAUAUAAAGAGGUGGAGUUGAUUUAUUCCCUCAUAUUUCUGCAGCAGGAGUUGAUACCAUGUGUGAGAGUAGAUCAGUCAGAAGUUCAGAUUAAACCCAAAGGUUUUUUCUUUCCUUUGCACCGUUAGAGACCGAAUAUAAACUGAAGGGAGAGGAAGAGAAGUGAGGAGAGAUGGAGGUGAAGGGAGGAGGAGGAGGACAGGGUUUGGGGUUUUAACAAAAAUCUGAAGCUUUAUUCUUUCACUUGAUUAUUUUUAUUCAUCCGUUUUCUUCUUCAUUUUCUGAACUGAUUGUAAAUAUUGACUGGAGGUAAAUUGACCUUAUUUUAUAUUAUUAGACAUUAUUUUCCGUCUCUUUACAUGUUUUUGUUCUCAUAUCAUCUUUGUGCUCAUCAAUAAUCGAUUCCCUCCAGUUUGAACAAAUACAAUUAUUAAACCAUAAAUGAGACCUGAGAGUAAAAUUAAAAUGUGUGAAAUAUAAUCAGUCAAAGGAAAGAUUCUUAAACAAAAACAAAAUCAUUAUUUUUACUUUAUUAUGAUGGAGAAGUUUUCCUCUGACAGACAAAAAUAACCAUAUUGACCGGAGUCUGGAAAAAGUGAGAUCAGCAUCUAUUCAGGGUGAAGUCAUUAAUGUGGUCGAUGCUGUUUUAUAAACUCAGUGUUGUUGAUUACAAUCUCAGCUUCAUAAACUGAUGCUACAGUGGAGUGACUUCCUGUAAAAUCCACUGGCUUUGUGAGACCGUCAGCUUUCAGGAGAUCAGUUUGUGUUUCUGUGACACUCCAAAGCUUUUCUAUCCCACAGAAAAGAUCGGUGUGUUUUCAGAGACCUUCCUGAUCCCAUCCCUCCAAAAUAAAAAUAAUCUGAUGGUUUAUGGAUUCAUUUCAGUAACAAAGUGUCAUUUCUGUUGUUAGCCAAUCAGAGGCUGUAUCUGCCAUCAGCUGACCUGUAAAGGUCCAAUCAGAAGUCAGGACAGCUCAUGCCACAGUCUGAUCACACUACAGACACAUAAAACAUAGAACUAUUGUAAACAGAUUUGUCCUCUUCAGUUUAUCUACUAUCAAUAGAUCUGUGCUCUGUCUGUGUAACACUCUGUUGGUUCUUCAUUUACACCAGAUCAUUUUUUAUUUCAUUUCACUGUAACAAUGCCAUUUAAAGAUAAUAAAAACUUUAUUUGAACCAAAACAUGUUAAAAACGUCAACUCGGCUCGUUUCAUUCACUGUGUGCAAUUGAUUAUUAUUAUUUUUCAUUCAAACAGAAACUAGAUUUGGUCUUUAAAAAGUCCUCAAAGUGAGUCUGAAAAGUAGAGGAAGGUUUUAUCAUCAGGGUGCAGCACAGUUGUUUCCUGUGUUUUCAUUUGUGAUAUUCUCUCUAAGGUGUGUUAUUGUUCAUUUAAAGUAUGUGGAGGACAAAUCCACACAUCUAACAAAGAAGGUAAAAUAUAAAGAUAGGAGAUUUCUGCAUGACAUCAACGAUAUCCUGGAUUUAGUUUUCUAAGCAACAGGUGGUCGUCUUUUAUCGGGGGUACUUUGAUCCAGAAAUCUGAAAAGGGGUUACUAAAGCAAAAGAAGAAAAACCAGAGACUGUAUAUAGAAUGGACAGAGUCUGCCUCCUCGCUGGGUGAAGCCACUCUGAGAACAGCACCCUCUGUUGAUGGGCUGCAGUAUAGGUCAUAAAUCCCGCCUGCGCCAGCAAAGCUUAUGGAGCUGUGGACGAACUUUAGAAAUUUAUUACACAGAACAUAAUUUUUUCUCCCUCCUGGUUGUGAUGUUGACAUGUAGUUAUUGUCAGACUGGUUUGUGCUCAAGUCCUCUUUUUUCUGUGAAGCUCCAUUUUUAAAAGUUAUUAGGGGGUUCAUGUUUGCUAUGACGUUUCACAGCCAUAAGGAAUAACCAAUCGGAGCCUAGCACUUCUAGCCAAUCAGAUGCGAAGGAGGGUGGGACCUUCCCCUACCAUCCCACGAAAAAAAAAACCAAACACGUCCGGGUUUGCCGACCUUUAUUUCUGAGCCCCAGAUAACAGGACAGAGAUACCUAAAGCAUACAACGUGAACUUGUGUUAUCACAUCAACAUAUUUGGCUCCUACACUGAAUAUAAUGUUGGACAGUGAUCUUUGUAAAGUGAGGUGAAGGAGGAGUUUGUGUAGUGACAACACAAUCACACUGUGUGCAAAAAUAAAAACCUGUUCAACCAAAUCUUCACAUUUAGUUGGGGUAUGAGAAGAGGAGUGC
This 19077-nucleotide long non-coding RNA is filed under the name Xyrichtys novacula (pearly razorfish). Lineage: Eukaryota; Metazoa; Chordata; Actinopteri; Labriformes; Labridae. The record is from RNAcentral.